Molecule: long non-coding RNA, 1853 nt
Filed under: Homo sapiens (human)
Lineage: Eukaryota; Metazoa; Chordata; Mammalia; Primates; Hominidae
Description: lnc-FANCI-2 transcript variant b-PA1
Source: RNAcentral
ACAGAAGCGGAACGCGCGUCGAGAGCGCCCUGUCCGCUCGCCCCAGACAGAUGCCCGGUUAUUCAUUACCGCGAGGCCUAGAGGAAAGAGUGGCUGCCGUCUUCCUGCCCACAGCCCGCCGGACCCUCCGUCGCGGCUGCCCGGUCCCCGGAGCCGCAGCCGCCGAGCCCGGCUGUGCGUGUCGUGGCUGCUGGGGAGAAAGAGGCUUCCGGACAUGCUCUGGAGUCAGAAGACAGCGAAAAGAGAAGCAGAAGCCCCGGUGGCAAGAGUCUGAAGCUGGAAAGGAGGAGAACAUGAAACAUUGCUUGAAGACAAUGGCCGAGACAGCAGGUCCCACCCUGCACAGCCACCAGCAUCUCUCCCCUCAGCCCUGUCUCCUCUUCUGCAGUUGGGAUCUGCACAUUUAAGCCUGAAAUUGUCCUGUGAAGUGAAGUAUGAUCGGACAGCCUCUUUUCAGCUUUUAUGACAAUGGAGACAGAGGAAUUGUGGCUCUUGCCAAGGUCACAGGAUUGGAAUACAGAGCCAAGCCACCCCAGGACAUGCAAGAGCCUCAGAAGGGAAAAAAGCCCAGCAGGAAGGGAGAACAAGUAGCCUCUGUCCUGAAGUUGUAACAGCCAGGGGCCAGGAUGGAGGAGGAGGACCCCAUAAUCUGCCCAUCUGGGACUUGGCAGGGGACCUGGGAAAAUGUACCCCAACCCAUCCCUUAAGGGCCUUUGUCUUUGGCCCAUUGGCCUAGCAUCUACUUCUUCACCGUGUCUGUUCUUGUCACACCUAGUCAGGUCUGUUUGGGUCUGAGGUGCAUGGAACAUUCUGGGUAGGCCUCCAGCAAACGGAAGCUCUUCACCGUGUUUCCAGCCUGGGACCAAGGGCAGCAUACUGGCAAAGUUGCCAAAGCAAGGGACUCCAGCCUCUUAGGAGUUAAUGACUCCCUCUCCCCAGCUGUCCUCCCCUUGGUGCUCCUCUUCCUCCCUCCUCCUGCUCACAGCAGGCAGGGCCUAGACCCGGGAGCCAUGCUGCUGUGCUGUUGCCAGGGGAGCACGGAGGCAGAUCUGAGCUAUGCAGGGAAAAGGCCCAGCCUGUCAAAGUGUCUGAGAUGAACCGCCGCCGUCCCUGUGCAGCUGGGCUCAGACGUGUCUCAGCUCUUGUUCUGUGCCUGAGAAUGGCGAAACCCAGUGAGGUUCAAGGGCAAACUCGCUAUUCAUUAGUCAGGGGUUCUUGACGUCCCGUCUCUCCCAGGGAUGAGUUCCCCCCUCCUCUUUCUCCCCCUCCUAUGACACAUUCCUGGGUGCCUUUGGUGAGGACUGCACACCCUCCUCCUGCCUAGCCCCCUCUCCAAAGGCCCCUGAAUAAACUCCCCCCAAGGAGACCAGGCAGGGCAGAGACAAUGGCUGCAGGAAAUCAUUCAGGCGGGACAUGCUGGCCUGCCCUCCACCCAGUCCCCCUGUGGGCCCCACUCCCUUCUGAUUCAGGGCACCCUUGGGCCCCCAGCCUAUACAGGCCUGGACAGGAAGAAACCACUGGGAACCACCCUAAGGACAACAUGCUAGUCCAGUGCCAUUCUUCGCUGGCUCUGUGGGUGCCUUUGUGGCCUGUACCGACUGGCUGGCUAAUUUUGUGGUUUCUGUACCAUCACAUGCCUAUUUUAAGACACUCUCCAGCACUGUCGGUUAGGGAGUGUAAAUUUUGCAAUAUUUUCUGAAAUGUGGCAAUAUCAAAAUGUAAAAGGCACACAUACUUGGUCACAAACAAAUGGCACUAUUUACUCUGUGGGCAUAUUUGUAAAAGUUGCCAAAGAAUUAUAUACAAGGAUGUUCAUCAGAGCAUUUCUUUUGAAGAGUAAAGAAAUGGACAUG